Molecule: long non-coding RNA, 1493 nt
Filed under: Strigops habroptila (Kakapo)
Lineage: Eukaryota; Metazoa; Chordata; Aves; Psittaciformes; Psittacidae
Description: lncRNA (ENSSHBG00005011581.1)
Source: RNAcentral
GGGCAUAUUCUGGGAACCGCAUAUAAUUCAUGGCUUAUGUACAAAUAAUAGUAGUGAAUUUUUGAUUUGGGGGUGUGUGUGAGAGCUUGGGAUAAAAUGAAUGAUUUUGGUGUAUUGUAUAUAUGUAUUUCUUUAGCUCAGUCUGAGUGGUGGAAAAGAGUCAUUGUUAAGUGUUCUAUUUCAGCUAAGCUUGGAGUCUACACUGUAAUCUUUUUGCUGUCGUUGCCUUUCAGAAAAACCUAAGUCUUUCACAGUGAAAUGGGGGAUUAUUUUUCCUCUUUUUACAGAAAAAGAAACAUAGGAAACAGAAAAACAAAGGAAACCACAAGAAUAAAAAAUCAGAAAAAGACAGCAGCUCAGACACUGCAGAUAGCAGUGACAAUCUUUGUGAUACAGAUACCACAGGCUUAUCAGCUGAGGAACUUCUAAGAAGAUUAAAACAACUCCAGUAUUGAAGAGGGGGCUUGCUUUCUUCGGUGCUGUGUGACUUGAUCUCAAAUUUUUGAUCUCCUCCAUGAUGGUAGAUCAGUUGUACACUUUGAAGCACAGUAGACACUGUAUUCAUAUUGAAUUUGUUUGAAAGCAAAUAUGCAUAUGUUAAAUUUGUGGUGCUUCAUAUGUUUAAAAUACAUGGAUUAUGGAACGUUGAAAAGACCCCUUCCUGGGCAGCAUAAUCUGAAAUGCUGCAAGUUCUGUUUUAAUUAACAUGAAGCAAUAUAUUUUAAUGAAUUUAAGUAUUACAAAUAGUUUACGUAUGUUAGGUCACUGCCUAGGACCUCUAAAAUGCUGGAGAAUAAGUUUCAGCCUGAGUUACGUUAGCAAGUUGAUUACUAAAGCCAUAUAAAUUUUAUAUUGGGUGCAAAUAUUUUUAAUGAGUCUAAUGCAGAAUUUCACAUUGCAGUUUUGCAGUGGCUGUACUUAGAGAGUUAUUUUUACAUCCUCAAAAUGUAUACAGCAUUUACCAUAACAGAUCUAAAACAAUGAACUGUCAUUUUGACACAGAUUAUUAAGGCUAAUGUACUAACUGAUCAGUGCUAUAAUCUGCCUUAUUUUAUGUAGUUACAAUGAAAACAUUUAUACUAUUGUUUGUUCAUGCAGCACAUUUAAAAAGCAAUUGUCAUGUUGUAGAAUUAUUUUAAUGUAAACUAUGAAAUAAUACUGCACUGUAUUUUAAAUGCUGAGGUUGCUAAAAUAUACCCACAGAACUUCUUCCAGGUGCGCACGGAAACCAAAACAAUACUCUUGCUUGAAACUGUGAACAAAAGCCUUAAGUGAAAUACACUGUCCUUGAUGGCAGUUCUCUGGGGCCUGAUUGAAUUUACUUUCAGUAUCCACAGCUCUUGAGGAGGGUGAACUAAUAGAGUUAUCUCAUGUUGACACACAGCUUGUGGGAUUUGUAAAUGUAAAAGCAACACAAAAACUUGAGUUAUGGAAGGUGAAAUAAGAAAUUGAACCUUGAGGCUGCGUCCGUUGCAGGAAAAAAAAAAAAUAAA